AAUGGAUUUUUGGAGCUGGGAGUUGGAAUAGGAGCUUGCUCCGUCCACUCCACGCAUCGACCUGGUAUUGCAGUA
This 75-nucleotide small nuclear RNA is filed under the name Cervus elaphus hippelaphus. The record is from RNAcentral. Lineage: Eukaryota; Metazoa; Chordata; Mammalia; Artiodactyla; Cervidae.